This 2882-nucleotide ribosomal RNA is filed under the name Blattella germanica (German cockroach). Its description in RNAcentral is "bacterial LSU rRNA". The stretch from base 1355 to 2882 matches the Rfam family "Bacterial large subunit ribosomal RNA". The record is from RNAcentral. Lineage: Eukaryota; Metazoa; Arthropoda; Insecta; Blattodea; Blattellidae.
GGGUUUCCAUAGAUAACGGCUAUUCCGUCAAUUUCCUUGAAGUAUCUUUCACAGAAAUCUAUACAUAUUCCCAUAUGUUCACCAGUGCCCGUCCCAAUAAUAUCGAUAGGAUUUGAUACGGCAGCUCCCGGUAGUAAUUGUUUUUUUAGUUCUGCCGCUAAUUCCUUAUUCAUCUCGGGAACAUUGAUAUUUCCUUUCGAUAGAGCAUCCGUUAAUAUCACAGCCGGUCCUCCAGCUUGUGUGAUAAUAGCCAGAUUUUUGCCUUUCAGUUCUUUUAAUGAUAAUACGGCACCUACAUUUGCUAAUUCCUCACGAGAAUAACAACGGAUAAUUCCGGCUUUUCUGAACAAAGCUUCUACUGCCGAGUCUGAACUUGCAAUAGCUCCUGUAUGAGAUGACGCAGCUCGGCUACCCGAUUCUGAAGUUCCCGAUUUAAUCGCUGCUAUUUUACAACCUUUUUUUAUUAACGAUGCUGAAUAUUGUAAAAACCGAUCAGGAUCAGCUAUUUUUUCCAGAUAUAAUAAUUUAAUCUUCGAGCUUUUUUUAGAGUCGAAUUCUUCAUCCAUAUACUCCAAAAUAUCCUCGAUUCCUAUUUGAGCAGCAUUUCCGAUAGACCAAGCAGAAUUAAAUCUCAAUCCUAUUCGCAUUGCAGAUUCUAUAAUAUAUGUAAUUGUUCCUCCCGAGCUGGAGAUUAUAUCGACGCCUUGUGAAUUUAAUUUAGGUACAGGCCUGGUGAAAAUGCUUUGAUGCAUUGUAUUGAAAAAACCUGAACAGUUUGGGCCUAUCAUUACCGCUCCUGCUUCAUUGACGAUGUCAACCAGUUGUUUUUCCAUUUCAGCCCCUUCUUCCGACUCCUCACUGAAUCCAGCCGAAAAAACGAUGAAAGCUUUUACGUUUUUCUCUUUGGCUAAAUAUUCUACAGUAUUCUGACAUUGCACCGCAGGUAUAGAUAUAAUUGCAAGAUCUGUUUGAGGGAUUUCCUCAAUACUUUUAUACGCUUUUACUCCCUGUAUUGUACCUCCUCGUGCAUUCACAACAUAUAGAUCCUUAUUAAAAGAACCAUUGAUAAUAUUAUGUAAUGCACUACCUCCAGGUUUCAAAAUGUUAUCAGAAGCUCCUACUACUACAAUGCUUUUAGGGUUUAUGAGUUGUUUAUAUUCCAUAUUUUAAUGGUUUAUGUGUUAUUUUGUAUAAAAGUAGCGGAUUUAAUGAUAUGAGAAGAAUAAUUUUUUAUAAUAUAUAACAUAAAAAUUAAUACAAGGGAUUUCUUUUUAUUAUUGAUGCAGGUUUUGCAAGAAUUUCUCUCUGGAUAAUUUUUAUUUUCGUUAUUUUUUUAUGUUUGACAACAUCUUUUCUUUUAGGAUGUUAGUUGAUAUCUUUGUUGCUUGGUGAAAAAAUAUUUGAAAUUAUUUCAUCAUUUUAUUUGGAAUGUAAUAAAAAGUUAUUUACUUUUGCACCCGCUUUGGUAGAGAACGCGGCGCUAAAAUGGGGAGUUAUAAAGAUAACAACUNAUAUUGGAAAAUCCGUAUGUUUUGCCGAUCUAUGAUAGUACCAUAAACCUUCGGGGGAGUGGAUAGUGCAGGUAAGAGCUUCCAAGAAAAGCCUCUAAGCUUCAGAUGAAAGAAAACCGUACCAAAACCGACACAGGUAGUUGAGGAGAGAAUCCUAAGGUGCUCGAGUGAUUCACGGCUAAGGAACUAGGCAAAAUGAACCUGUAACUUCGGGAGAAAGGUAGCCUUCCUUUAGGAAGGCCGCAGAGAAGAGAUCCAGGCGACUGUUUAUCAAAAACAUAGGACUCUGCUAAAUUGAAAAAUGAUGUAUAGGGUCUGACACCUGCCCAGUACUGGAAGGUUAAAGAAAAAAGUCAGCUUAGGCAAAGCUUUUGACUGAAGCCCCAGUAAACGGCGGCCGUAACUAUAACGGUCCUAAGGUAGCGAAAUUCCUUGUCGGGUAAGUUCCGACCUGCACGAAUGGUGUAACGAUCUGGAAACUGUCUCAGCCGUGAGCUCGGUGAAAUUGUAAUAUCGGUGAAGAUGCCGAUUACUCGCAAUGGGACGAAAAGACCCUGUGAACCUUUACUAUAGCUUCGUAUUGAUUUCGAUUAAAAAAUGUGUAGGAUAGGUGGGAAACUUUGAAGCGUUGUCGUCAGGCAAUGUGGAGUUGUCCUUGAAAUACCACCCUUUUUUUAGUUGAAAUCUAACUCAAUUCAAUAAAAAUUGAGGACAUUGCGUGGUGGGUAGUUUGACUGGGGUGGUCGCCUCCAAAAAGGUAACGGAGGCUCCCAAAGGUACCCUCAACACGUUUGGUAAUCGUGUGUAGAGUGUAAUGGCAUAAGGGUGCUUGACUGUGAGACUUACAAGUCGAUCAGGUACGAAAGUAGGGCAUAGUGAUCCGGUGGUUCCGCAUGGAAGGGCCAUCGCUCAAAGGAUAAAAGGUACUCCGGGGAUAACAGGCUAGUCUCCCCCAAGAGCUCACAUCGACGGGGAGGUUCGGCACCUCGAUGUCGGCUCGUCACAUCCUGGGGCUGGAGAAGGUCCCAAGGGUUGGGCUGUUCGCCCAUUAAAGUGGCACGCGAGCUGGGUUCAGAACGUCGUGAGACAGUUCGGUCUCUAUCUAUCGUGGGCGCAGGAUAUUUGCGGAGAUCUGACACUAGUACGAGAGGACCGUGUUGGACAGACCACUGGUUUACCGGUUGUUUCGCCAGGAGCAUCGCCGGGUAGCUAAGUCUGGAUCGGAUAAGUGCUGAAAGCAUCUAAGUACGAAGCCGGCUUCAAGAUAAGAUAUCCAUUAAGGGUGGUUGUAGACUACGACCUAGAUAGGCUACAGGUGUAAAGGCAGUAAUGUCAUAGCCGAGUAGUACUAAUUGCCCGGACGCUUUCAAG